Molecule: ribosomal RNA, 253 nt
Filed under: uncultured bacterium
Lineage: Bacteria
Description: partial 16S ribosomal RNA
Rfam family: Bacterial small subunit ribosomal RNA
Source: RNAcentral
UACGUAGGGUGCGAGCGUUAAUCGGAAUUACUGGGCGUAAAGCGUGCGCAGGCGGUUCGUUAAGUUCGUUGUGAAAGCCCCGGGCUCAACCUGGGAAUUGCAUCUGUGACUGCAUCGCUAGAGUACGGUAGAGGGGGAUGGAAUUCCGCGUGUAGCAGUGAAAUGCGUAGAUAUGCGGAGGAACACCGAUGGCGAAGGCAAUCCCCUGGGCCUGCACUGACGCUCAUGCACGAAAGCGUGGGGAGCAAACAGG